GUACUUUCAGCAGUGAGGAAGGUGGAUAUGUUAAUAGCAUAUUCAUUUGACGUUAGCUGCAGAAGAAAGCACCGGCUAACUCCGUGCCAGCAGCCGCGGUAAUACGGAGGGUGCGAGCGUUAAUCGGAAUUACUGGGCGUAAAGCGCAUGCAGGUGGUUUGUUAAGUUCAGAUGUGAAAGACCCGGGGCGUCAACCUCGGAAUUGCAUUUGAAACUAGGCAAACUAGAGUACUGUAGAGGGGGGUAGGAAGUUUCAGGUGUAGCGGUGAAAUGCGUAGAGAUCUGAAGGAAUACCGGUGGCGAAGGCGGCCCCCUCGGACAGAUACUGACACUCAGAUGCGAAAGCGUGGGGAGCAAACAGGAUUAGAUACCCUGGUAG
This 379-nucleotide ribosomal RNA is filed under the name uncultured bacterium. RNAcentral's name for it is "bacterial SSU rRNA". It matches the Rfam family "Bacterial small subunit ribosomal RNA", at positions 430 to 793 of the family's 1533-position model. The record is from RNAcentral.